ACCUUCGGGCCUCUUGCCAUCAGAUGUGCCCAGAUGGGAUUAGCUUGUUGGUGAGGUAACGGCUCACCAAGGCGACGAUCCCUAGCUGGUCUGAGAGGAUGACCAGCCACACUGGAACUGAGACACGGUCCAGACUCCUACGGGAGGCAGCAGUGGGGAAUAUUGCACAAUGGGCGCAAGCCUGAUGCAGCCAUGCCGCGUGUAUGAAGAAGGCCUUCGGGUUGUAAAGUACUUUCAGCGGGGAGGAAGGUGUUGUGGUUAAUAACCGCAGCAAUUGACGUUACCCGCAGAAGAAGCACCGGCUAACUCCGUGCCAGCAGCCGCGGUAAUACGGAGGGUGCAAGCGUUAAUCGGAAUUACUGGGCGUAAAGCGCACGCAGGCGGUCUGUCAAGUCGGAUGUGAAAUCCCCGGGCUCAACCUGGGAACUGCAUUCGAAACUGGCAGGCUUGAGUCUU
RNAcentral lists this ribosomal RNA (456 nucleotides) under Salmonella enterica subsp. enterica serovar Johannesburg. Its description in RNAcentral is "bacterial SSU rRNA". It matches the Rfam family "Bacterial small subunit ribosomal RNA", at positions 199 to 650 of the family's 1533-position model. The record is from RNAcentral. Lineage: Bacteria; Pseudomonadati; Pseudomonadota; Gammaproteobacteria; Enterobacterales; Enterobacteriaceae.